GACGAACGCUGGCGGCGUGCUUAACACAUGCAAGUCGAACGGAAAGGCCCUGCUUUUGUGGGGUGCUCGAGUGGCGAACGGGUGAGUAACACGUGAGUAACCUGCCCUUGACUUUGGGAUAACUUCAGGAAACUGGGGCUAAUACCGGAUAGGAGCUCCUGCUGCAUGGUGGGGGUUGGAAAGUUUCGGCGGUUGGGGCUGGACUCGCGGCUUAUCAGCUUGUUGGUGGGGUAGUGGCUUACCAAGGCUUUGACGGGUAGCCGGCCUGAGAGGGGGACCGGCCACAUUGGGACUGAGAGACGGCCCAGACUCCUACGGGAGGCAGCAGUGGGGAAUAUUGCACAAUGGGCGGAAGCCUGAUGCAGCAACGCCGCGUGCGGGAUGACGGCCUUCGGGUUGUAAACCGCUUUCGCCGGUGACGAAGCGUGAGUGACGGUAAUGGGUAAAGAAGCACCGGCUAACUACGUG
This 468-nucleotide ribosomal RNA is filed under the name uncultured bacterium. RNAcentral's name for it is "partial 16S ribosomal RNA". It matches the Rfam family "Bacterial small subunit ribosomal RNA", at positions 28 to 507 of the family's 1533-position model. The record is from RNAcentral.